AACGAACGCUGGCGGCAUGCCUAACACAUGCAAGUCGAACGAGACCUCCGGGUCUAGUGGCGCACGGGUGCGUAACGCGUGGGAACCUGCCCUUAGGUUCGGAAUAACUCCCCGAAAGGGGUGCUAAUACCGGAUAAUGUCUUCGGACCAAAGAUUUAUCGCCUUUGGAUGGGCCCGCGUUGGAUUAGCUAGUUGGUAGGGUAAAAGCCUACCAAGGCGACGAUCCAUAGCUGGUCUGAGAGGAUGAUCAGCCACACUGGGACUGAGACACGGCCCAGACUCCUACGGGAGGCAGCAGUGGGGAAUAUUGGAAAGUGGGGGAAAGCAUGAUGCAGCCAUGACGCGUGAGUGAUGAAGGCCUUAGGGUUGUAAAGCUCUUUUACCCGGGAUGAUAAUGACGGUACCGGGAGAAUAAGCUCCGGCUAACUACGUG
This 433-nucleotide ribosomal RNA is filed under the name uncultured bacterium. RNAcentral's name for it is "partial 16S ribosomal RNA". It matches the Rfam family "Bacterial small subunit ribosomal RNA", at positions 29 to 507 of the family's 1533-position model. The record is from RNAcentral.